UGGAACAAAAUAGAGAAACCAGAAAUAAAGUCAAAUACUUACAGCCAACUGAUCUAUGACAAAGAUGGCAAGAACACUACACUGGGGAGAAGACACACUUUUCAAUUAAUGGUGCUGGGAAAACGGUGAUGGCGCCUGGAGGUUUGGCGAAAUACUGACAGGAUGCGACGUCAACGGGAGCGCAGGGCCAAGGUACAGGCCCCGCCCAGUCCGGUCACAUCCCCCGGAAUUCUCGCAGCUCCCCUUAGCUCCGCCCCCAGUGACUUUCCAGCUUUCGUGGCGGGAGGCAAGCUUAGGGGAAGCGGGCGGGUCCGCUGGGCGGGAUUUGAGCUUCCCUUUGGUAGAUUCGAAGCUCCUGUAGGCAGAGCCUUUCUUUUAAUGUCCAGUUCUCUUCCUCCAAGAAAUAGGCACCUACUGCAGUCUUUACAAGGAAGCAUUUACAAGGAUAACAAUGUUAUUUGGGAGUUUUUAUAGUAAUUUCGGGCAUUGGCAUAAUGCCACCAUUGAGUCUUGCUAUUUACAGACAGAUUUGAUUAACCUUGUCAUUGUUUUAUAGGGCCAUGAUUUUGUGGUAUAAUUAAUAUUUAUUAUAAUUUAUUUUAUAGGUUUAUUAUAGUUUAUUUAAUAUUUAUUAUAACUUAUAAUUGAUAAAUAUUAUAAUUUAUCAUUUAUAAUGAUAAAUUGUUAAACAUGAAUUCUCUGCUAAUUCCAGAUAUAUGCCUUCAAUCAUUUAAGUGAAAUCAUCCUAGUGUGAAACUAAAUGUAAUAAAGAAUUACAUGAAUAUUUCCAAGGCUAAUUUGAACUAAAAUAUCUUCUUUAUAUACAUAUUUGCAGGAGGAUAUAGCUAACUUUUUUUUUUUUUUUGAGACGGAAUCUCGCUCUGUCACCAGGCUGGAGUGCAAUGGCGCAAUCUCGGCUAACUGCAACCCCCACCUCCCGGGUUCAAGCAAUUCUUCUGCCUCAGCCUCCCUAGUAGCUGGGAUUACAGGCGCAGGCCACCAUGCCUGGCUAAUUUUUGUAUUUGUUUAGUAGAGACGGGGUUUCCCAUUUUGGCCAGGCUGGUCUCGAACUCCUGACCUUGUGAUCCGCCCACCUUGGCCUCCCAAAGUGCUGGGAUUACAGACAUGAGCCACUGUGCCCAGCCAGCUAUGUUUGAAGUGCCUUUUUAAUCAACAGGAAGCAUUCAGUAUUAGCCCAUCUCCUGUUUCCCCUCCCCAUCCCUGUAGUUAUAUCCCACGCAGAAGCCGGGGUGACAAGUGCAUGAACUCAGGAGCUGUCCAUUUGAGGAAAACUAUAGGGAAGGUUUAGAUGCUAUCCUCCUUCCAUCUCUGGCUGCAUCCGGCUGAGAAAUACUAUUCCUCCUUUUUAUGUGAAGCCCUCCACAUGGGCUUUGGACCCUGACCAAUUUCAUCUCCCUUCCAUCAUCAUCAAUAUAUUUUCUCUUAAUGUAUUUUAAGCUUUCCUUCUUUUAUUCAUUCUUUCCCGUCACCAUUUAAACACAUUCUCCCAGGCUCUUGCUCUGUCGCCCAGGCUGAAGUGCAGUGGCGAGAUCAUAGCUCGCUGCAGCCUGGAACUCCUGGGCUCAAGCUAUCCUCUGGCCUCAGCCUUCUAAGUAGCUGGGACUACAGGCACAGGCCACCACACCCGGCUAAUUUUUUAAAAAAAUUUUGUGGAGACGAGUUCUCACUAUGUUGCCCAGUCAGUCUCACACUCCUCUGUGGGUACUAAAUAUUUGUUGAAUGAACAAAUGCUGAGGAAAACUGUUUAUCUUACUUCUGACUUCCACCCCUCCAUCCCACCCCUGCCCCCCACCACCCCAUUACACUUAAACUGCCCUUAGAAAAACCACUGAAGAACUCUUUAUUGCUAACCCAAAAGGACAUUUUUAGUCUCAUAUUUUUGAAAACAUUCUUUGUGCUACAACAUGGUCCUAGUUUUCCUCUUACCUUCUACCAACUGAAUCUUUUAAAAUUUCUCAUAAUCUGUUUAGCCUGUAAGUAUCCAUGUUCUGUAGAAUGUGAUGAAGAUGUCUAAUAGAGGUAUACGUAAGUCCUUUUAUUUUGUUAAAGUGGUUGUUCUCAGUUCCUGUGGGACACAACACUUCCUACACGUUCAAGUAACUUCCAAUCUUAUUUCUUCUGCAUAAUCUCCCAAUUAGUGGCAGAGGCUCCAGAGCCUGUAAUGCUUUCCCUCACAUUAGCAAUUAAUUUCCACAAAUGAAGAAAAUUGCUCAUGAAUAUACAGUACAAUUUAAGAUAAUAAGAGAGGAAAAAAAGAGAUUGAAUCAACUGAAUAAGGCAAUGAAGACAUAUUAAUGCCAAAACAAUCCAUUACUAUUGUUCUAUGCCUGUUGAAGCAGCAUAAAAAAGCUACUCUAAGGCUAACAAUUAAUGUAAUUGUUAUUAGAAGUUAUGACUUUUAAAGGUUCAAUGAAAAAAGUUUUUAUAUAAAAUCUGCAAUGUAAAAAUGUUCAUUUUAAGAAAAGUUAAAAUUAAAUUUUCAUUAAUAAAUAAUGAAGACUAAAAGCAAAAUGGGUAAUUUUUAAGUGAUGUAUAAAUAUAAGGAUUCAGUAUAGUUAUCAUAAAUAAAUCAAACGUGAAAGAAAUUAGUCUGCAAAUU
RNAcentral lists this long non-coding RNA (2620 nucleotides) under Homo sapiens (human). RNAcentral's name for it is "non-protein coding POT1-AS1:1". Lineage: Eukaryota; Metazoa; Chordata; Mammalia; Primates; Hominidae. The record is from RNAcentral.